GGACCAGUACACAUAUGGCUGACUGCAACUCUGGACGAAGAAUGUAUCGAGUGAGGAUAUUCCCAUCUGUUGGAGCGAUGUUUGUCUGGCUGAAAAUAUUUUGGUGAGGCAUGGAGAAGCAGAAGUCGGAGCUUGACAUGGAGAAGCAGAACACGGAGCUCUACUUGGAGAACUUUAAGCUGAUGUGUGAGAACGAAAAGAUGCGCAAGAUAGCCGAGAGAAUCAGCCAGGAGAAUCAGGCCUGGUUGCAAAUAAAGCAGAAGCUUCAAGAAAUAGAGGCCAUGCAGCUCAACACCAGCUCUACUUCAGCAACACCUCACAAGUAGAAACAUGUUUCUUCAACACAUUCAAAGUCCUUAUCAGUGUUAUGCCAUUGAAGCACAGCUCUCUCUCUCUCUAAAAACUGCUAAUGUUUUUCUAGUUUAUUCUGCUUAUUGUUGUACCCCAUCUACAUCUUGUAAUCCCCAUUUCUGUUAUUUCACAAAAACAGAAUAAAUUUACAUAUGAAAAACAUCCCAAUGCUGUGUGAGUCAAGUAUAAGGAACAAACUUUUUUUUU
Salvia splendens (bonfire salvia) is the source of this 558-nucleotide long non-coding RNA. RefSeq lists it as uncharacterized. The transcript has 2 exons. The record is from RefSeq and is a predicted model, not a curated record. NCBI's taxonomy places the organism in Eukaryota, Viridiplantae, Streptophyta, Magnoliopsida, Lamiales, Lamiaceae.